GGUUCUGGCUGCAGCACACAUCCCCCCCCUCCCCUCCCCUCCACCGUGCUGCAGGGAAUCCCAGCAUGCUCCGUCCACGGCCUGACUGGAAGGCUCCAUGGCAACCUCCGGGGUCAGGGGUUGCACAGAAAGGUUGCUUUUAUCUGCUAAUGAGAGAGUACAAACAGGAAACGGACGUCUUACCGGAGCGACCUGCACCACCUGCAGCUGGAUGUGCUGCGGCUGAGCCAGGCUGCCCCCCGGCUGAGACACCGGGAUGUACUGGAUCCUCUGAAGUGAGUCCGAACCUGGAGGCGGAGCUCAGCUUGUCGUCGUGCAUGUUGAGGUGCUGCUGCAGCUGCUCCGAGCUCACAAAGCGCCGGUUGCAUUCGUAACAGGGCCAGUUCUUCUCCUGCUCCCUGAGGACUGAACAGAAGAGGGCGGAUGACGCCGAUCCGAGGUCGUACUCUGCACCCGGGAGGUAAAAACACCAGACUCACCUUUGAUCUCUUCUUCCGUCACAUCGUGGAUCUUCUGAUUCACAAACUCUGCAUACGACGCUGCAUACCACACCUGAAAAAUGUAGACACAAAAAAGGUAUUUUCCACAAAAGCAGAAGUUUGAUGAAGAAAAAGCCGCAGCAGCAGACUGGCCGACCUUCAGCUCCUGCUUGGGCUGGACGUUUUUGAUGGUGGUGUAAAACAGUUCGGAUCCGUACUGAUAGGCCACCAGGUUCUGCUCCAAGUGGUUCCGAGCGGGGCGCACAAACAUCAUCCAGUUGCAGCUGUCUUCGUCGGAGAGGUCAAACCAAAGGUCGUCCGACGUCUGCGCCUCCUUUUCUGCGUCCAGCUUGCACAGCUGGAACACACAUGAGGGAAAUCUGCUUAAGCCCAUAACACCAGAGGCGUCACCGGUGACGCUUAAACACAAAAUCUUUUACUUUAACGGUUGAAAAGUUAGAGUAGAUCACAGAACACAAACACUGGAGCUCUGCUGUUAAAGGAUUAAAGCCCCCUAUGACAAAUUACUUUAUUUAAAAAAAACAUUCCAGAUAGUGUUUUAAUUAUGAUGAUUUUUAGCCAAAAUCCCACAAUCUAAAUGCCUAAAAAAGCCAUUUUAAUCUGAAGCCUCCGUUUCCAAAAUCUCCUCUGGGUGGGUGUGGCUGAGUAGCUCCGCCCCUGACCAUCUGAUUGUGAUAGCUCUGUGUCUGGCGAGUGCAAAUCUUCACCGAUGCUACAUAAAAGUGC
Molecule: long non-coding RNA, 1226 nt
Filed under: Oryzias javanicus (javanese ricefish)
Lineage: Eukaryota; Metazoa; Chordata; Actinopteri; Beloniformes; Adrianichthyidae
Description: lncRNA (ENSOJAG00000002466.1)
Source: RNAcentral